Molecule: long non-coding RNA, 1675 nt
Organism: Felis catus (domestic cat)
Lineage: Eukaryota; Metazoa; Chordata; Mammalia; Carnivora; Felidae
Exons: 2
Source: RefSeq, a predicted model, not a curated record
AGCAGUAUAAUUAUGUUGUAUACUGUUUGACAUAUCUUGCUUUUUUGUAGGGAAUAAGAUUGACCUGCAUCCUGGCUAAAUGUAAAUGAAAUGGCAUGCCUUGCACAUGUUAAGAUCAUGAGAAACCUAAUUUUUCUGGAGCUGAUAGUAAUUAAUAUAUUAUCCAAGUGACUUACUUGGGAAGGUGUAGAGAGUAAAUAUAACCCAUAGCUUAAAGAUUGAUUGAACAGAGGUCAGAGAGUAGAAAUGUUCAACAUUAUUUUUCUGUAAUUGUCAUGAUUAAAAUAUAUGUUUCUAUAAAUCAUCAUACUAUACACAUAAAGCUUCCUCACUUUUGUUUUUAUUGUGGGUCUUGCCAUAGUCUUCCCUGUAUCUUCAUUUUGUGAUUUUUUUCCCUAGCUGAGAAAAAUCUUUCAAAGUCCAGACUGAAUCUUCUUCUUUGUUGUAUAUCUUAUGCUUGUAAGAAUAACCUGAUCAUAAUAAACAAGGAAUAAAUGCUUCCUGAAUAAAAAUGAAUAAAUAAAUGUAUUAAUUACCUUAAGUUAUGAAAUUGAUCUGUAAAGGAACCUAAUUCUUGAUCUUAUUCUCAUUAUAUCUGCCCUCUAAGGCCUAUAUGGAGAAUGUAUAUUUAUUUAAAUGUCACCAAUAUUAUUUAUCAAGCCCUUAGUACAUUCUAGUCAUUGUUCUUUAUACCAAGGAUAUAGCAGUAAGUGAAACAAAUCUCUAGUUUAAUGGAGCUUGCAUCCUGGAUAGCAGUAGACAAAAAACAAAUAUACAAGCAAACUAUAUGGUAUAUGAGAUGGUGGUAAGAGCUACUGGGGAAAAUAAAACAGGCCUGGUAGAUAGGGAGUGACAAUUUGAAAACAUUAUGACAUAAACAAAGGUGGCAAGGAAAGUCCUCACUGAGCAAAUAGAUACCUGAACAAAGACCUACUGGAGGUAAAGGAGUGAGCCAUGCAGAUGUUUGAUAGAAGAGCAUUCUGAGAGAAUAUUCUUAUGCAGCACCAGUCCUCCAGUGAGCAUGAAACAGUAAAGGUUCCAAUUUUUCAAUAAUUAAUAAAAAAGCAAAUAAAUGAGUAGAAGAUGACGACAUCUAAAAAGCAAUUAGGAAGUCACAUACUAAGAUAUGUCCAUCAUUGUGAAGACAUUAGUGUUUGCUUUGAACAAGAGCAAGCCAUACAGAAGCUUGUUUUCAUAGGAUUACUCUGGCUACAUGCUGAAGUUAGACUAUAGAUAUUUUUCAAAGCUAUGAAUCUGAAAGACAUCAUCAAGAAGAUAAAGAGGACAAGAAAAGGGAGAAGAAAAGCAAGAGAUGGAAAGUAAAGGGGAGCAGAGAGGAAAUGAAGAAAAGGAAAGAGAAAUUAAGAACUGAUGCCUGGAAUACAGUUAAGAAAAGAAGAGACCAACGAAGGCGAGUAUGCCUGUAUUAGUUUUCUAUUGCUGCUAUACCGAGAUACCACAAACGUAGUGGUUCAAACAACAAAUUAAUUUUCUUAGAGUCCCAAAAAUCAGAAGCCAAAAAUAGGUUUCACUGGUUAAAAUAAAAAUGUGAGGAUUGCAUUCCUUCUGGACCAUCCAGGGGAGAAUUAGUUGUCUUUCCCAGCUUCUAGAGGCCACUUGGAUUAUUUCAUGGCCCUUUCCUCCAUUUUGAAAGCCAGCAAUCCUAUUACUCUGA